This 346-nucleotide unclassified non-coding RNA is filed under the name soil metagenome. RNAcentral's name for it is "partial contains 5.8S ribosomal RNA, internal transcribed spacer 2, and large subunit ribosomal RNA". The stretch from base 1 to 120 matches the Rfam family "5.8S ribosomal RNA", at positions 35 to 154 of the family's 154-position model. The record is from RNAcentral.
GAUGAAGAACGUAGCAAAAUGCGAUAAGUAAUGUGAAUUGCAGAAUUCAGUGAAUCAUCGAAUCUUUGAACGCACAUUGCGCCCGCUGGUAUUCCGGCGGGCAUGCCUGUUCGAGCGUCAUUUCAACCCCCAAGCCCCCGGGUUUGGUGUUGGGGAUCGGCUCUGCCUUCUGGCGGUGCCGCCCCCGAAAUACAUUGGCGGUCUCGCUGCAGCCUCCAUUGCGUAGUAGCUAACACCUCGCAACUGGAACGCGGCGCGGCCAUGCCGUAAAACCCCAACUUCUGAAUGUUGACCUCGGAUCAGGUAGGAAUACCCGCUGAACUUAAGCAUAUCAAUAAGCGGAGGA